CUUCCACUCACAGCCUUUUGAAGUAGCUCUGUGGACUUACACCAGAGAGAUGAAAAGCUGAAAUCCAGCUGCCGUUCAUUCCUGCUUUGAGAUUAGGAAAGGUAGAGCUGAAUUUCGGCUAUGAUACUCGGAAGCUUUUCCCCAGCUGAUGGAGGCCUGCCCUGGAGGUGCUCAGCUCCAUCUCUGCUGUCCAGGCUGUGAGCAAGAACACCUAAGAAAAGCCAGCAGCCUCCUUCACUCUCCCUCCCCAUCCAUUCAGGUACAGGCCACAAGUCUGCAGCAUCUCACUACAAAAUUAGCACAGAGACAGUGAUCACACCACGAUGAAAAAAAAAUAGAUUAAAAAGAGAGGAAAAAAAUCAGCUGCUAGAACAAAAGCCAAACAGAAAUGUGUUCCUUAAAUUAUUAGUAGUGUAUUAGAGGCGAUUUAGCACUCACAUGGCCAUUCCUACAACUGCAGAGACCCUGCAACAUAUCUUAUUCCCUUUGUAAUGCGGAUGGCACUGAGAUUGCUCUCAUCUUCUGGGCUUAUAAGCAAAUAUAUUUAAUUUGGAUGUAAUACAGCCAGGAGGGUGAUUUCUCCAGAUGGCGAUUUAAGCAACAGAUCAAGAGAUGAAUUAAGCACCUCAUUCCUUCAGAUUUUAGGAGAUCCCUGCAGGUGCCAGGGAUCCUGCCUCCAGCUUAGGUCCAGGGGAAAUUUCGGCCAAGAUGAAGCCUCUCAUUGGCUGCGUGAAUUCCAGCCUCCUUCAUUAACAUGAAGAGUGCCGUUCUCCCCGCUGUCUUAGGAGUUACAGAACAUUUAAAAGAUGAUUUGCAGACAGAUUAAGGACUUCAGAAGGAGAGAUGACACCAGACCUGGGUCUUGCAGAUGCAAACUGCUGUCAAGUGUGAGAGGAGGGGAGUAUUAUUCACCAGUGGCAGAUAUGCUGGGCAUCCGGGCAGAAUGAUAAGAGCUGCGGCCCUGCAGCCAGUCCCUGCAUUUGCACCCUGAGUUUGCCAUGAGCUGUGUGACCUUAGUCAAGUUUCUCAACCUUUCUGUGCCUCAGCUUCCUUCUCUGAAAAAUGGGGAUCAUGUUUUGCACACAGCCCAACACACAGCAAAUAUUCAGUGACUGCUGCUGCUUUCUGCCAUGGCUAAAGGUGGUGUUGUGGUUUUCCUUCCAGGUUUUUAUGCUUUAAUUUCCUAACUGUUCCUGCAUUACUUAACAGUUGAUGACGUGUGGGGCCAAGCUCUUGGCACACGUGAGCACGGUUGAUAUUCAAGGAGUGUUAACUCGGGUCCAUUUUUCUUUCCAUCGAACACAGCCUCCUGGUAAAAGAGCCAUUCAGGAUGCCUGGAGGAGCCCAGAUUUCAAAUCUGAUGAAGGCUGCAGUUCUAUAAAUUCCCUCCCUCUUUUGUGCUGAUGGCAACGACUUUUAUAUGUAUUUUCAUGUCUUUCUCUCCAGAGAUAAAUUUUGUGGCCUGCCACUGAAUCUGCUUCCUAAAAUGUAGCUUGGAGAUUUUAUUUGAGAUAAACUAUCAUGUGAAUAAAUAUAGAUACUAUAUUUUAAUCUGGGA
Long non-coding RNA from Gorilla gorilla gorilla (western lowland gorilla), 1558 nucleotides. RefSeq lists it as uncharacterized. Lineage: Eukaryota; Metazoa; Chordata; Mammalia; Primates; Hominidae. The transcript has 2 exons. The record is from RefSeq and is a predicted model, not a curated record.